CCCCUCUCAGGGUCACACCUGGAGAGUUUCCAGUACCCUACCAGUCUUGGCUACAGGAGGGAGAGCCAAGCAGAGCCCUACCCAUUCCGUUCCUAGCUUGGGCAGUGGCCAGCGAGUGAAAGGCCAUCUGCUACAAGU
This is a non-coding RNA of Ornithorhynchus anatinus (platypus), 138 nucleotides long. Lineage: Eukaryota; Metazoa; Chordata; Mammalia; Monotremata; Ornithorhynchidae. The record is from Rfam.